Molecule: ribosomal RNA, 480 nt
Filed under: Priestia megaterium
Lineage: Bacteria; Bacillati; Bacillota; Bacilli; Caryophanales; Bacillaceae
Description: bacterial SSU rRNA
Rfam family: Bacterial small subunit ribosomal RNA
Source: RNAcentral
UGCAGUCGAGCGAACUGAUUAGAAGCUUGCUUCUAUGACGUUAGCGGCGGACGGGUGAGUAACACGUGGGCAACCUGCCUGUAAGACUGGGAUAACUUCGGGAAACCGAAGCUAAUACCGGAUAGGAUCUUCUCCUUCAUGGGAGAUGAUUGAAAGAUGGUUUCGGCUAUCACUUACAGAUGGGCCCGCGGUGCAUUAGCUAGUUGGUGAGGUAACGGCUCACCAAGGCAACGAUGCAUAGCCGACCUGAGAGGGUGAUCGGCCACACUGGGACUGAGACACGGCCCAGACUCCUACGGGAGGCAGCAGUAGGGAAUCUUCCGCAAUGGACGAAAGUCUGACGGAGCAACGCCGCGUGAGUGAUGAAGGCUUUCGGGUCGUAAAACUCUGUUGUUAGGGAAGAACAAGUACGAGAGUAACUGCUCGUACCUUGACGGUACCUAACCAGAAAGCCACGGCUAACUACGUGCCAGCAGCCGC